GAUGAACGCUGGCGGCGUGCCUAAUACAUGCAAGUCGAGCGAACGGACGAGAAGCUUGCUUCUCUGAUGUUAGCGGCGGACGGGUGAGUAACACGUGGAUAACCUACCUAUAAGACUGGGAUAACUUCGGGAAACCGGAGCUAAUACCGGAUAAUAUUUUGAACCGCAUGGUUCAAAAGUGAAAGACGGUCUUGCUGUCACUUAUAGAUGGAUCCGCGCUGCAUUAGCUAGUUGGUAAGGUAACGGCUUACCAAGGCAACGAUGCAUAGCCGACCUGAGAGGGUGAUCGGCCACACUGGAACUGAGAAACGGUCCAGACUCCUACGGGAGGCAGCAGUAGGGAAUCUUCCGGAAUGGGCGAAAGCCUGACGGAGCAACGCCGCGUGAGUGAUGAAGGUCUUCGGAUCGUAAAACUCUGUUAUUAGGGAAGAACAUAUGUGUAAGUAACUGUGCACAUCUUGACGGUACCUAAUCAGAAAGCCACGGCUAACUACGUG
RNAcentral lists this ribosomal RNA (497 nucleotides) under uncultured bacterium. RNAcentral describes it as "partial 16S ribosomal RNA". It matches the Rfam family "Bacterial small subunit ribosomal RNA", at positions 28 to 507 of the family's 1533-position model. The record is from RNAcentral.